GUAUCACAUACAGCUACUGUAGGUGUCAUGGUCAGAGAGGGUAUCACAUACAGCUACUGUAGGUGUCAUGGUCAGAGAGGGUAUCACAUACAGCUACUGUAGGUGUCAUGGUCAGAGAGGGUAUCACAUACAGCUACUGUAGGUGUCAUGACCAGAGAGGGUAUCACAUACAGCUACUGUAGGUGUCAUGGUCAGAGAGGGUAUCACAUACAGCUACUGUAGGUGUCAUGGUCAGAGAGGGUAUCACAUACAGCUACUGUAGGUGUCAUGGUCAGAGAGGGUAUCACAUACAGCUACUGUAGGUGUCAUGACCAGAGAGGGUAUCACAUACAGCUACUGUAGAUGUCAUGGUCAGAGAGGGUAUCACAUACAGCUACUGUAGGUGUCAUGGUCAGAGAGGGUACCACA
This is a long non-coding RNA of Oncorhynchus keta (chum salmon), 408 nucleotides long. RefSeq lists it as uncharacterized. The transcript has 3 exons. The record is from RefSeq and is a predicted model, not a curated record. Lineage: Eukaryota; Metazoa; Chordata; Actinopteri; Salmoniformes; Salmonidae.